Molecule: long non-coding RNA, 451 nt
Organism: Rhinolophus ferrumequinum (greater horseshoe bat)
Lineage: Eukaryota; Metazoa; Chordata; Mammalia; Chiroptera; Rhinolophidae
Exons: 3
Source: RefSeq, a predicted model, not a curated record
CAGACUCACCUUGCAUUAUUUCUCUUGUUCCUGAAUACAUAAUUGGAAUAGACAUACCUGGCAUCUGGCAGAAUCUCCACAGGCACUCUCUUACCCUUGUGCUAAGGGUCAUUAUAACAGAAAAGGUUUGACAUGUGCAUGUAUCAGAUGGGCCUUGGAGAAUGACUGUGGACUACUGUAAUCAGGUGGUGCCUCCAAUUGCAGCUGUUUUUCCAGCUAUCUACUGGAGCAUAUCAGCACAGCCUUUGAUUCUGAUGGCGGCAACUUCAUCCUAGUGCUCAGGCAAAAAUCCUGUCGGCUCUAUACAUCAGUUAUGGUUUAACCUGGGGAGUAGAACCGUCCAGUGAUAUGGAAUCAGGAUUUUAUUAGAAGGAUAAGACCUUACACUAUCGUGGAAGAAGCUAAGGAGGAAAGAUCAACAAGGAGAUGAUUGGAGAAUCAGAGAGAAGUC